GCCGAUUUCUCUCAUCCCCCUCCGUGUGGAGCGCAAAGAAGUCGAAAAAGGUUGCGGAAUUUCUUUUGCAAGACGCGCUAUUAUUGCAAACUCAAAAUUUCCAAAGAUAAAUCUACUUACCGAUAAUCAUCAGAGUCGGGUAAUUGUCGCACAGUUAUUUUGUAACCGGAGUUUAUAGAUAAUUGCAAAAGAUCCUGGAGUCGAAUCAAUCCAUCUUCUUCUUCAUAGAGAACGGUAAAAGUCUUCCAUUUCCAACCCUUAAUUACAUCUGCAUAGGCCUGUCAUUUAUUCAUAACACAAGAGCCGUUAAACUGUUGGUUUUCUAGUUUGGAUUUUUGUUUUAAUAAGGAUACGAACCCGACUGACAGCCGCUGGAUGAGGAUAGAGAUUCACAGACAUUGGACUAUUGUUUUUCCUCCCAUUGUAACCUUGAUCUUCAUUUUUAAGAAGGUCCAUGGCAGUGGUACGUUUAGGAUCCCAGUGUGUCUGAAUGUGCGGGAUUUUCAUCGUUUGACACAUGGACUGAACGUGAUCAGCUGACACUUCCGACUGGGGACCAAUAAUUGCAGCCACUCCAAAGCGAAUCAUUUGGCAAACUGCCAAAUUUUAUUGUGAGUUAUGACUGUUAUCAUAAUUUCAAUGUCUGUUAUUGGUAGCAUCGGUUUUACCUUUCUUCGAGACAAGGAACGAAUCGUUCGGAGGUAAAAAUUCGACAUUGCCAGUGCCGGGUGGAACGCGGGAUAACCGCGAACGAGUCAAAAUCUGUCGGUUAGCUUUAACCAUUUGCAUCGAGUAGCGGAAAGUCAUUUCCAGAGCUGAAUCAGAAGUCGUGUCAAAUAAUCCACCUUGAAAAAGUUAAGGUUAAAUAACGAAUUGCAAAAUGUAAUAAAUCUCCAAUACGAACUCACCCACGUAAAUGACGUCUGGAAGAGCAUCGACUCGUACCACUAAAAUCCAUGUUGUGACUAACACGAUUGAAAUGAAAUGUUUAAACAUUUUGGCUCAUCAGAAGCCGUUUAUUGUCUGAUUGAGGAAUCCUAGAUGUGGGGAAACAGUCUUUGUGAAUGAGUGCACUGGUUUUGGAGGAAUAAAACAGACGAACGUCUAAA
Molecule: long non-coding RNA, 1109 nt
Organism: Daphnia magna
Lineage: Eukaryota; Metazoa; Arthropoda; Branchiopoda; Diplostraca; Daphniidae
Exons: 2
Source: RefSeq, a predicted model, not a curated record